AACAAACGCUGGCGGCGUGCCUAAUUCAUGCAAGUCGAACGGGGAAAGCUUUCGGGUGAGUACUAGUGGCGCACGGGUGAGGAACGCGUGGGUAAUUUUCCUUGAAGUGGGGGAUAACUAGUCGAAAGAUUAGCUAAUGCCGCAUAAGACCACGAAAUCUGAGGAUUUUGAGGUAAAAGGUUUUUCGCUUCAAGAUAAGCCCGCGUAAGAUUAGCUAGUUGGUGAGGUAAUGGCUCACCAAGGCGACGAUCUUUAGCUGGUCUGAGAGGAUGAUCGGCCACACUGGAACUGAGACACGGUCCAGACUCCUACGGGAGGCAGCAGUAGGGAAUAUUGCACAAUGGAGGAAACUCUGAUGCAGCGACGCCGCGUGAGUGAUGAAGGACUUCGGUUCGUAAAGCUCUGUCGCAUGGGAAUAAUAAAUGAAGGUACCACGCAAGAAAGGAUCGGCUAACUUCGUGCCAGCCGCCGCAGUAA
This 477-nucleotide ribosomal RNA is filed under the name uncultured bacterium. RNAcentral describes it as "partial 16S ribosomal RNA". It matches the Rfam family "Bacterial small subunit ribosomal RNA", at positions 29 to 523 of the family's 1533-position model. The record is from RNAcentral.